Molecule: ribosomal RNA, 522 nt
Filed under: uncultured bacterium
Lineage: Bacteria
Description: partial 16S ribosomal RNA
Rfam family: Bacterial small subunit ribosomal RNA
Source: RNAcentral
UGGGGAAUUUUGGACAAUGGGCGCAAGCCUGAUCCAGCCAUGCCGCGUGCGGGAAGAAGGCCUUCGGGUUGUAAACCGCUUUUGUCAGGGAAGAAAUCUUCUGAGUUAAUACCUCGGGAGGAUGACGGUACCUGAAGAAUAAGCACCGGCUAACUACGUGCCAGCAGCCGCGGUAAUACGUAGGGUGCAAGCGUUAAUCGGAAUUACUGGGCGUAAAGCGUGCGCAGGCGGUUUUGUAAGACAGAGGUGAAAUCCCCGGGCUCAACCUGGGAACUGCCUUUGUGACUGCAAGGCUUGAGUGCGGCAGAGGGGGGAUGGAAUUCCGCGUGUAGCAGUGAAAAUUGCGUAGAUAUGCGGAGGAACACCGAUGGCGAAGGCCAAUCCCCUGGGCCUGCACUGACGCUCAUGCACGAAAGCGUGGGGAGCAAACAGGAUUAGAUACCCUGGUAGUCACGCCCUAAACGAUGUCAACUGGUUGUUGGGAAGGUUCCUUCUCAGUAACGUAGCUAACGCGUGAAGUUG